Phrynosoma platyrhinos (Desert horned lizard) is the source of this 72-nucleotide non-coding RNA. The record is from the annotation of a GenBank genome assembly. Lineage: Eukaryota; Metazoa; Chordata; Lepidosauria; Squamata; Phrynosomatidae.
GCCUGUGUGGUGUAGUGGUUUGAGUGUUAGACUACAGCUCUGGACACCAGGGCUCAAUUCCCAGCUUGGCCA